This 373-nucleotide ribosomal RNA is filed under the name uncultured organism. Its description in RNAcentral is "partial 16S ribosomal RNA". It matches the Rfam family "Bacterial small subunit ribosomal RNA", at positions 527 to 896 of the family's 1533-position model. The record is from RNAcentral.
GUAGGUGGCAAGCGUUGUCCGGAAUUAUUGGGCGUAAAGCGCGCGCAGGCGGUUCUUUAAGUCUGACGUGAAAGCCCACGGGCUCAACCGUGGAGGGUCAUUGGAAACUGGAGAACUUGAGUACAGAAGAGGAAAGCGGAAUUCCACGUGUAGCGGUGAAAUGCGUAGAGAUGUGGAGGAACACCAGUGGCGAAGGCGGCUUUCUGGUCUGUAACUGACGCUGAGGCGCGAAAGCGUGGGGAGCAAACAGGAUCAGAUACCCUGGUAGUCCACGCCGUAAACGAUGAGUGCUAAGUGUUAGGGGGUUUCCGCCCCUUAGUGCUGCAGCUAACGCAUUAAGCACUCCGCCUGGGGAGUACGGCCGCAAAGGCUG